RNAcentral lists this ribosomal RNA (524 nucleotides) under uncultured bacterium. Its description in RNAcentral is "partial 16S ribosomal RNA". It matches the Rfam family "Bacterial small subunit ribosomal RNA", at positions 35 to 539 of the family's 1533-position model. The record is from RNAcentral.
AUUGAACGCUGGCGGCAGGCCUAACACAUGCAAGUCGAGCGGAUGAAGGGAGCUUGCUCCUGGAUUCAGCGGCGGACGGGUGAGUAAUGCCUAGGAAUCUGCCUGGUAGUGGGGGAUAACGUCCGGAAACGGGCGCUAAUACCGCAUACGUCCUGAGGGAGAAAGUGGGGGAUCUUCGGACCUCACGCUAUCAGAUGAGCCUAGGUCGGAUUAGCUAGUUGGUGGGGUAAAGGCCUACCAAGGCGACGAUCCGUAACUGGUCUGAGAGGAUGAUCAGUCACAGUGGAACAGAGACAAGGACCCGUCUGGAAGGGGAAGCAGCGGUGGAGAAGAUAUGACAGGGAGCGAAAGCUAGAUAGAGAGAUGGGGUGUGUGUGAAGGAGGUCUGAGUAUUUAAAAAUUCUGUGAGUUGGGGGGAAGGGUAGUAAUUUAACUCCUUGCUGUUUUGACGUUACCAACAGAAUACGCACCGGAAAACUGCGUGACAGCAGAGGAAUAAUAACAGCAAAAGCACCCGUCUCACC